UUCAGAUAUAUUAGUUUGGUUUACAACUGCUGCAGGAGGGUUUCCACCGUUUUCGAGUUACGACUCGACUGCACACUGGUUUUCCGGCGCGAUAAAUUACAUCGGACGCGUAAUCGUCCCCGGAACAGUCCGAGAACUCCACGUCGGCGUCGGUUGUCGCGCUCAAAGAGGAUUUCUUUAAGCUUUAGGAAGCAUCGCGCGUGCCGCUGCGACGACAGAAGACCGGGCCAGUCGUUCACCUUAAUCGUUCAGCACUUCCUCGAUAGAAACGUGGACAGAAGAGGUCGUUAGAACGCUGAAAACGUAGUACAGAUGUCUCCUUAUUCCUGUGACGCGCGCAAAAAUUCAGCGAGGAGGUUGCGACUGAAAAUGAAGAGAAUUUUAGAGAAUUGUUACAAAUGACCAAUGUACAACGGGAAAUUCAACAUACUACAAGAGGUAAUUUGUUUUGAAGAUGAGAAAAUGGAAGUCAAAUUCAAUC
Hylaeus anthracinus is the source of this 481-nucleotide long non-coding RNA. RefSeq lists it as uncharacterized. The record is from RefSeq and is a predicted model, not a curated record. Lineage: Eukaryota; Metazoa; Arthropoda; Insecta; Hymenoptera; Colletidae. The transcript has 2 exons.